GAUGAACGCUGGCGGUCUGCUUAACACAUGCAAGUCGAACGAACUCUUCGGAGUGAGUGGCGGACGGGUGAGUAACGCGUGAGAAUCUGCCUGUGGGUCGGGGACAACCACUGGAAACGGUGGCUAAUACCGGAUGAGCCGAAAAGGUAAAAGAUUUAUUGCCCACAGAUGAGCUCGCGUCUGAUUAGCUAGUUGGUAAGGUAAAAGCGUACCAAGGCGACGAUCAGUAGCUGGUCUGAGAGGAUGAGCAGCCACACUGGGACUGAGACACGGCCCAGACUCCUACGGGAGGCAGCAGUGGGAAUUUUCCGCAAUGGGCGAAAGCCUGACGGAGCAAGACCGCGUGGGGGAGGAAGGUUUUUGGAUCGUAAAGCUCUGUCAAUAGGGAAGAAAUUGAGUCAUCACUAAUAGGGUGGCGCAUUGACGGUACCUAUAAAAGGAAGCACCGGCUAACUCCGUGCCAGCCGCCGCGGUAAUU
Molecule: ribosomal RNA, 478 nt
Filed under: uncultured bacterium
Lineage: Bacteria
Description: bacterial SSU rRNA
Rfam family: Bacterial small subunit ribosomal RNA
Source: RNAcentral